Molecule: ribosomal RNA, 404 nt
Filed under: Acanthamoeba sp.
Lineage: Eukaryota; Discosea; Longamoebia; Acanthamoebidae
Description: SSU rRNA
Rfam family: Eukaryotic small subunit ribosomal RNA (bases 1-338)
Source: RNAcentral
UUCUGCCACCGAAUACAUUAGCAUGGGAUAAUGGAAUAGGACCCUGUCCUCCUAUUUUCAGUUGGUUUUGGCAGCGCGAGGACUAGGGUAAUGAUUAAUAGGGAUAGUUGGGGGCAUUAAUAUUUAAUUGUCAGAGGUGAAAUUCUUGGAUUUAUGAAAGAUUAACUUCUGCGAAAGCAUCUGCCAAGGAUGUUUUCAUUAAUCAAGAACGAAAGUUAGGGGAUCGAAGACGAUCAGAUACCGUCGUAGUCUUAACCAUAAACGAUGCCGACCAGCGAUUAGGAGACGUUGAAUACAAAACACCACCAUCGGCGCGGUCGUCCUUGGCGUUCGUGUUCACGCACGAGCGCGAGGGCGGCUUAGCCCGAUGGCACCGGUGAAUGACUCCCCUAGCACUUGUGAGA